GCUGGCGGCGUGCCUAACACAUGCAAGUCGAGCGGUAACAGGUGUAGCAAUACAUGCUGACGAGCGGCGAACGGGUGAGUAAUGCUUCGGAAUCUGCCCAAUGGUGGGGAAUAACCAGCCGAAAGGUUGGCUAAUACCGCAUAAGUCCUACGGGAGAAAGCAGGGGAUCGUAAGACCUUGCGCCGAUGGACGAGCCGAAGUCGGAUUAGCUGGUUGGUAGGGUAACGGCCUACCAAGGCGACGAUCCGUAGCUGGUCUGAGAGGACGACCGCCACACUGGGACUGAGACACGGCCCAGACUCCUACGGGAGGCAGCAGUGGGGAAUAUUGGACAAUGGGGGAAACCCUGAUCCAGCGACGCCGCGUGUGUGAAGAAGGCCUGCGGGUUGUAAAGCACUUUUAGUGGGGAUGAAAAGCUCAGGGCUAAUACCUCUGGGUCUUGACCUAACCCAAAGAAAAAGCACCGGCUAACUCUGUGCCAGCAGCCGCGGUAAUACAGAGGGUGCGAGCGUUAAUCGGAAUUACUGGGCGUAAAGCGUGCGUAGACGGUUAUGUAAGUCGGGUGUGAAAGCCCCGGGCUCAACCUGGGAAUGCCAUUCGAGACUGCAUAGCUAGGGUGCGGAAGA
Molecule: ribosomal RNA, 626 nt
Filed under: uncultured soil bacterium
Lineage: Bacteria
Description: bacterial SSU rRNA
Rfam family: Bacterial small subunit ribosomal RNA
Source: RNAcentral